This 920-nucleotide long non-coding RNA is filed under the name Zostera marina. RNAcentral's name for it is "long non-coding RNA (ZMAR_LNC004490)". Lineage: Eukaryota; Viridiplantae; Streptophyta; Magnoliopsida; Alismatales; Zosteraceae. The record is from RNAcentral.
GCAACCCUAAAGAAAGCUCAGUUACUGUUCCAUUCAUUCUAGCAGCCGCCAAGCCAUCUUGGGUCUUCCCAAUCCAUCAGUCAUCCAUCAUUGGUGCUUUCAACUCCUCCUGCCGGUGACCAACUGAAGAUCUUCAGAAGAAUCGAAGUCCUACAAAAAAAAAGCAUUACAAAAGCAUGUUCUCUGCUUAAGAGAUCCAAAACAGGGAUGUAUUCUUCUAAUCCAAUCAAUAGCAUUCAUUAUUAUUAAAUACAUCACUGGUUUUUUUUUAGAUCACGGAAACAGUAAAGGAAGAGCUAAAGAGGUUUUGUAAAGCCAUAAAAAAAAAAAUUUACAAACAACUCUCCAAAGCUUGUUCUCUGCUUAAGAGAUCCGGAUCAGGGACGCAAAAAAAAAACUCCCUUAUCUUUACUUUAACUUCCAAUCAGUAAACAAAUUUUUGUUUUUCAGAAAAAAAAAGAAAAGAAAAAGAAAAGAGAUUAUAUAUGGCUGAAUCAAUGGAUGUUCAACUUAAAAGGCUACAAAUAAAACAAGAUACUGAAGCUGAGAGGCUGAGAAACAUGGAGAAGACCCUAUCCAAAAUGAGUGAAACACUACUGUUAAUCAGCAAUCCAGAGGCAAAAAAUCAGCAGAAACAGGAGAUGAAAUAUAAAUCCAUCAGAACUGAAAUGCCUAAAUUUGAUGGGGAAAAUGUGCAGGGCUGGCUAUAUAAAGCAAAAAAAUACCUAAGAUAUCACAAUAUACCUGAUGAGGAAAGGAUCACAAUAGCCACAUUCAAUAUGGAAGGAGAGGCAUUAGAAUGGCUUCUAUGGGCAGACAACAACAAUGAACUCAAGUCAUGGUCUGAUUUUAUCGAUGAUCUGGUUAGAAGAUUUGGUACAUCAGCUUAUGAAAUACCUGCUGGAAGACUUAGCAAAUUG